UGGGGAAUAUUGCACAAUGGGGGAAACCCUGAUGCAGCGACGCCGCGUGAGUGAGGAAGUAUUUCGGUAUGUAAAGCUCUAUCAGCAGGGAAGAAAAUGACGGUACCUGACUAAGAAGCCCCGGCUAACUACGUGCCAGCAGCCGCGGUAAUACGUAGGGGGCAAGCGUUAUCCGGAUUUACUGGGUGUAAAGGGAGCGUAGACGGAAUUGCAAGUCUGAUGUGAAAAUCCGGGGCCCAACCCCGGAAGUGCAUUGGAAACUGUAUAUCUAGAGUGUCGGAGAGGCAAGUGGAAUUCCUGGUGUAGCGGUGAAAUGCGUAGAUAUCAGGAGGAACACCAGUGGCGAAGGCGGCUUGCUGGACGAUGACUGACGUUGAGGCUCGAAAGCGUGGGGAGCAAACAGG
This 404-nucleotide ribosomal RNA is filed under the name uncultured bacterium. RNAcentral describes it as "bacterial SSU rRNA". It matches the Rfam family "Bacterial small subunit ribosomal RNA", at positions 355 to 776 of the family's 1533-position model. The record is from RNAcentral.